UACGUAGGGUGCAAGCGUUGUCCGGAAUUAUUGGGCGUAAAGAGCUCGUAGGCGGCUUGUCGCGUCGGCUGUGAAAACCCGUGGCUCAACUGCGGGCUUGCAGCCGAUACGGGCAGGCUAGAGUUCGGUAGGGGAGACUGGAAUUCCUGGUGUAGCGGUGAAAUGCGCAGAUAUCAGGAGGAACACCGGUGGCGAAGGUGGGUCUCUGGGCCGAUACUGACGCUGAGGAGCGAAAGCGUGGGGAGCGAACAGG
Molecule: ribosomal RNA, 253 nt
Filed under: uncultured bacterium
Lineage: Bacteria
Description: partial 16S ribosomal RNA
Rfam family: Bacterial small subunit ribosomal RNA
Source: RNAcentral